This 436-nucleotide ribosomal RNA is filed under the name uncultured bacterium. RNAcentral describes it as "bacterial SSU rRNA". It matches the Rfam family "Bacterial small subunit ribosomal RNA", at positions 958 to 1399 of the family's 1533-position model. The record is from RNAcentral.
AACGCGAAGAACCUUACCGGGGCUUGACAUCGGAGGACAACUCUAGAAAUAGAGCUUAGGGGCAACCCUACUUCCAGACAGGUGCUGCAUGGCUGUCGUCAGCUCGUGCCGUGAGGUGUUGGGUUAAGUCCCGCAACGAGCGCAACCCUCGUCGUGUGUUGGUCCACAAGAUCUCUCACACGAGACCGCCGAUGAGAAGUCGGAGGAAGGUGGGGAUGACGUCAAGUCAGCAUGGCCCUUACGUCCCGGGCUACACACGUGCUACAAUGCGCCGAACAACGAGCUGCGAACCCGCGAGGGUAAGCCAAUCUCUUAAAUCGGCGCUCAGUUCGGAUUGAAGGCUGCAACUCGCCUUCAUGAAGUCGGAAUCGCUAGUAAUGGCGCAUCAGAACGGCGCCGUGAAUACGUUCCCGGGCCUUGUACACACCGACUGUAC